GACGAACGCUGGCGGCGUGCCUAAUACAUGCAAGUCGAACGCAGUGGGGACGGGUGAGUAACACGUGGGUAACCUGCCAUCAGCGGGGAUAACACUUGGAAACAGGUGCUAAACCGAUACUGAUGGAUGGACCCGCGGUGCAUUAACUAGAUGGUGAGGUAACGGCUCACCAAGGCCACGAUGCCUAGCCGACCUGAGAGGGUGGUUGGCCACACUGGGACUGAUAGACGGCCCAGACUCCUACGGGAUGCGACAGUAGGGAAUCUUCGGCAAUGGAGGAAAGUGUGACCGAGCAACGCCGCGUGAGUGAAGAAGGUUUUCGGAUCGUAAAGCUCUGUUGUUAGAGAAGCGGUAUCUAACCAGAAAGCCACUGCUAACUACGUGCCGGCAGCCGCGGUAAUAC
RNAcentral lists this ribosomal RNA (403 nucleotides) under uncultured bacterium. RNAcentral's name for it is "partial 16S ribosomal RNA". It matches the Rfam family "Bacterial small subunit ribosomal RNA", at positions 28 to 526 of the family's 1533-position model. The record is from RNAcentral.